This 74-nucleotide transfer RNA is filed under the name Melanthalia intermedia. RNAcentral's name for it is "tRNA-Glu". It matches the Rfam family "tRNA". From Rfam's summary of the family: Transfer RNA (tRNA) molecules are approximately 80 nucleotides in length. Lineage: Eukaryota; Rhodophyta; Florideophyceae; Gracilariales; Gracilariaceae. The record is from RNAcentral.
GCUCCCGUCGUUUAAGUCGGUUAGGACAAUGCUUUUUCACGGCAUAAGUAUGGGUUCAAAUCCCAUCAGGAGUA